GAUGAACGCUGGCGGCGUGCCUAAUACAUGCAAGUCGAGCGAACGGACGAGAAGCUUGCUUCUCUGAUGUUGCGGCGGACGGGUGAGUAACACGUGGAUAACCUACCUAUAAGACUGGGAUAACUUCGGGAAACCGGAGCUAAUACCGGAUGAUAUUUUGAACCGCAUGGUUCAAAAGUGAAAGACGGUCUUGCUGUCACUUAUAGAUGGAUCCGCGCUGCAUUAGCUAGUUGGUAAGGUAACGGCUUACCAAGGCAACGAUGCAUAGCCGACCUGAGAGGGUGAUCGGCCACACUGGAACUGAGACACGGUCCAGACUCCUACGGGAGGCAGCAGUAGGGAAUCUUCCGCAAUGGGCGAAAGCCUGACGGAGCAACGCCGCGUGAGUGAUGAAGGUCUUCGGAUCGUAAAACUCUGUUAUUAGGGAAGAACAUAUGUGUAAGUAACUGUGCACAUCUUGACGGUACCUAAUCAGAAAGCCACGGCUAACUACGUG
This 496-nucleotide ribosomal RNA is filed under the name uncultured bacterium. Its description in RNAcentral is "partial 16S ribosomal RNA". It matches the Rfam family "Bacterial small subunit ribosomal RNA", at positions 28 to 507 of the family's 1533-position model. The record is from RNAcentral.